UAUAUUGGACAAUGGGGGCAACUCUGAUCCAGCCAUGCCGCGUGUGUGAAGAAGGUCCUCGGAUUGUAACGCACUUUAAGUUGGGAGGAAGGGCUUGAGGGUAAUACCCUGAAGUUGUGACGUUACUACCAGAAUAACAAGCGGCUAACACUGCGCCCAGAACCGCGGUAAUAUAGAGGGUGCAAGCGUUAAGCGGAAUUACUGGGCGUAAAGGGCGAGUGGGUGGUUCAGUAAGGUGGGUGUGAAAUCCCCGGGCUUAACCUGGGAACUGCUUUCAUAACUGCUGAGCUAGAGUACGGUAGAGGGUAGUGGAAUUUCCUGUGUAGCGGUGAAAUGCGUAGAUAUAGGAAGGAACACCAGUGGCGAAGGCGACUACCUGGACUGAUACUGACACUGGGGUGCGAAAGCGUGGGGAGCAAACA
This 422-nucleotide ribosomal RNA is filed under the name uncultured bacterium. RNAcentral describes it as "partial 16S ribosomal RNA". It matches the Rfam family "Bacterial small subunit ribosomal RNA", at positions 359 to 774 of the family's 1533-position model. The record is from RNAcentral.